UUGGUCCAUUUGCCACAAGUGAUCGGGUAGCUGUUAUACUGCUGGCAGUAAUAAUCUCCAGCAUCAUCAACUUCAACACUGCUGAUGGUGAAUGUGAAAU
Molecule: long non-coding RNA, 100 nt
Organism: Gopherus evgoodei (Goodes thornscrub tortoise)
Lineage: Eukaryota; Metazoa; Chordata; Testudines; Testudinidae
Exons: 4
Source: RefSeq, a predicted model, not a curated record